Molecule: ribosomal RNA, 274 nt
Filed under: uncultured bacterium
Lineage: Bacteria
Description: partial 16S ribosomal RNA
Rfam family: Bacterial small subunit ribosomal RNA
Source: RNAcentral
AUACGGAGGGUGCAAGCGUUGUUCGGAAUUACUGGGCGUAAAGCGCGCGUAGGCGGUCUGUUAUGUCAGAUGUGAAAGUCCUCGGCUCAACCGGGGAAGUGCAUUUGAAACUGGCAGACUUGAGUACUGGAGGGGGUGGUGGAAUUCCCGGUGUAGAGGUGAAAUUCGUAGAUAUCGGGAGGAAUACCGGUGGCGAAGGCGACCACCUGGCCAGAUACUGACGCUGAGGUGCGAAAGCGUGGGGAGCAAACAGGAUUAGAAACCCUAGUAGUCC